UUUUUUUUUUUUUUGGCUAAUUCUUUUACCACUAAUAUCCCAGACUAGAUGCCACUAUGUCCUGUCGUGUUUCUUGUUUUCCCCAGACAAAAAUGACCCUCUUUGGAUUUCCCAAAAACGCUUGUCACAUGCCCUCAUGCCUUGAUUUAUUAGCUUCUAAACUGAGUUCUUUGAGAGCAGAAACUAAGACUCCUCUUUGGCGUUACAGUACCUAGUAGCAGGUUAUGAACUAAAUUGUUGAAAUCUAAUACCAAGGAAGAUGGUGACAUGACAUCUGUCUGUGGGAGGUUUUCACUUCAGUUUCCCCAGGACUACCCUUUAUCCUAUGCUUUGUCUCCCAAAUGGCAGUGACCAUCUGGUCCUAAAUUCUUUAACUUGGUCAAGGCUUUUCAGACUUCCUAUAGAGACAUCAGAAAUACUAACAUUUUGCUAGCUUGUAUCCCUCAAGAUCUGGAGAUUUGGUGGAAGUUGAAAUUUUGGGGGAUUUCUCAAAAAUCCAUUUACAUUUUAUAUUUUGUAUGUCCUACAACGUCUGAAAAGUUUUCUCCUAAAACUUCUGAAAAAUAUUCAUAAAUUCACAGUUCCAGAGAGGGUAGUUUGAGAAGCAUGGUGCUAAUUACAACCCGUUGUGAGCCCCUUCCUAGUAAGGCAUCGGAUGGCGCUCCUGGAAUUUCUGAAUGAGGAAUUCCUGAAGCCUGGAAAUUAGAUUUGGGGGGCAGUCUUCCGGCAGCAAUCUGCCUAGCAAAAAGUUGUUACUGUUAGGGACUUAGACAUAAUUUAAGCCCAAGUUUUGCUCUGGUAAUUGCUGAUAAAUUGCUGAAAAAAUGCCUCAUAUCUUGCUAAGAAGACAAAAUUGUGAUUGAGAUGUAUCUACGUGCUCUCUGAAGUUCUGUAUAUAUCACCUAACAUUUUUUAAAAAGAUUUUAUUUAUCCACGAGAGACAGAGAGACAGAGACACAGGCAGAGGGAGAAGCAAGCUCCAUGCAGGGAGCCGGACUUGGGACUCUAUCCUGGGACUCCAGGAUCACCACCUGAGCUGAAGGGGGUGCUAAACCACAGAGCCACCCAGGCUGCCCUAUAUCACCCAACAUUAUUUAAAAAGUGUACGCAGAUUUAGAUUGAUUUGCAGGAAUUGUAAACCAGUUUGUGCUUUUCAGUACAAACCUCUCAGGUUGGAGCAACCAUCGACUACAUCUUGAUUUUGGGCACUGACUAGCAUUGAAAAUCAAGAAACAAAUUAACCAAAGACAAAACUAUAUUUUAAGAUACAAGAUUUUCUUAAGAUUAUCUUAAGAUAUACUGAUUUUCCUCCUUGGGAAUAGGUCAGAAUACUGACAAAUGUUCAGUUGAGCUGAAGUCACCAGCUAGUGUGUAGGUGCAGUGGGGCAGCUCCUGUGCAGCAACCCUGUGACAGGUCCAAGGGCUUUUCCCAGAAGAAGGCAUUAAUGGCUUUCUACAAAAAUGCAGUGUUUCCUUAACUUGCUGGGGGGUUGAUAGAUUUCAAUGAUAGAGAUUUGAUACUUAUAUUAGUUGUGUAGGGUGCAUUUUUGCCUUGCAGCACCCAGAGUUCAUCUGGCUGUCAUUUGUCAACCGACUGCACUUUUCAAUUGUUGUCGUAUGAAAGCACCAAGUGAAACUGUAAGGUUAGCAGGGAUCCUGUGUAGCAAUUAUUUUGUCAUAUUGCUUUUACUUUGUGGAGGUAUUUCAAACCUCCUUUUACCCAAACUUGUCCUUUCUUCAAUCUCCCAGGCUCUGAAGUGGCCAUUGUUAAUAUACAAACACCAUUUAAAGUCUUUUUUUCUGAUUAAUGUAGCCACAGGCCUACUUCUUACAAGGUGUAUCUCAUGGGAAAAAAAUUUCUUCUAUAAUCUUUAGAGAAAAAAAUAAUUUUUCCCUGUUACCAAAGUAACAUAUUGGGUUGAUCCAGAAAAUAUACUUAAGUAAAAGGAGAAAGAUUAGAAUAAUCUAUAAUCCCACUACUCAAUUUUCAUGGCCAUUCUUCUAGACUCUUUCCAUAUGUCUAUCUUUUCCCAGAUAUGAGAUCAUACAGUGCACGCUGCUUUAUUCUCUUACAGUCUUCUACAACUUCGAUUUCAAUGACCUACCCUGUGGAUGGACCUUGGUUUAUUUAACCAGUGGGCUGUUGCCCACAGGUUACCAGACCUAAGAACCUACCUCUAGAAAGGGACUGGCUGUCACCUGGAUGCACCCUAACAGCCCCCACAGUAUGAUGUUCUCUUGUCUCCUAUUGGUCAGGGCAUGAGUACAUUUGUGAUUAAAUGAGGGAUUGGUGGAUUAUGUCACAUGAGGGAAUCUUUGGGAUUAGAUGUUUCUGCUAAUGGAGCAGAGGAUACCAGCUGAGUGGCCAAACCCUGCUUGGAGCAUCAUCCCAUGUCACUCUGGAGUGAGAAUGCCAUCAUGGUGGAGGCUCUGGUGUGCUGCUCUGACCACCACCACCCCUGCAGUUUCUGGGCACUCAUUCCCCUCGUUGCCAACAGGUCAUAGAUAAAAUUCAUUUCCAGAAACUCCUUAGCUAAAAGGACCCACCAUGAUCACGUGACCCACCAAGGUCACGGCCCUUUCCCUGGGGUAGUUUUCAUCCAACGAUUGGAUGAUGAGGAGCUAUAAUUACCUGCCCUCUUACCCUCAGUUUGGGACAACUCUUCAGGGCUCUUCCAGUUCUAGAGCUCUGUGUGGCCUGUGCUGAGGCCUGUGUUGGGACUGUAGGGCUGCUCUGCUCUCUCUACCCAGCUCUGCUUUCCUCUUUUCACCCCCAAAGGUGCAUCUCCCACCAGGACCUUCCAGUAACCUUCCUCCUUGCACAUGGCCCGCUCAGUGUCUGCUUCCGGGGGAACCCAAUCUGUGGCAGGCACUAAGUUUACAUUUUUGGCCUGACAAAGAGUUUAUGUGCAUAGUGUGUCUUACAGAGAGACAAUACAAGUUAAAAAAUAUCAGUUCUAAUUGCAAUACUUACAGGUUUCUCCACAAUACUUACGUGGCUACAUAGCUAGCCUUUCCAAGUGGAGUCAGAUCCAGCCUGGAGCUCUCACUUGAGGAAGUCAACAAGAAGUGUUCUGUGUUUGCCAUUUCCUAGGACUCUUACCCCAUCAUUUGGUUGUCCCAGGUCUGAGCCCGGUUGAUGGGGAGGUGGAUGGGUCCCUCCCAGGCAGGCCGUGCAUCUCGGGGCGCCCCUCACCGUGUGCUGGCUGUGGACCAUCCGUGCUCCCUCGGUACUGAUACGGGUCCACGGCCCCCUGUGUGGCCACACGUGCCCUUCUCUUUAUGGAGGAGGAAAAAGACUUUUACAACCUAUUUCCUCUCUUGAAAUUUGAGGCUUUAUUCCACAGUUUCCUUAUUCACAACGAGGGGAUUUUAUCCCUUACGCAGUGACGCUGGCUCCUGGCCAGUCUGGAGCAGCCUCAGGAGAGUGCAGGGCCGUGGCCCAGCUGGCUGACUUCACGUUUCCCUGGAGAGGAAACAGCUGUCACCUUCUCCACUCAGGAAGCACAGGUGUAGAAGUGACCUCUGAUUCCUUUGCUGGGGGUCGGCGACUCAGUUUUUAGGAGGAUUCCUACCUCUUUUUCCUGGUUUAGGUUCCAAGAUGGGCCCCCUCCUCCCCUACAUUAUGUUGGGUACAAAGCCACUGCCAACAGAAGGAUCAAAGUACAGUUUAGCUACCGUUAUGGGUUCAGUUGUGCGCCCCACCCCCCAUCCCCAAAGAUAUGUUGAAGAAUUAACUCCAGUACCUCUGAGUGUGACUCUUUGGAAAUAAGAUCUUUGCAGAUGUACCGAGUUCAGAGGAGGUCAUCCCGGAGAAGGGUGGGCCCUUUAUCCAAUAGGGUUGGCAUCCUUAUAAGAGAAAGAGAGAUCCAGAGACACAGACUCAGGAGAGGAGAACGCCACGUGAUGCCGAAGUGGACCCUAAGGUGCUGCAGCCGCAAGACUGGGAACCCCAAGGACCAGAGUAGGAGGAGGCCAGGAAGGAUUCUCCUUUAUGGGUCUCAGAGGAGCCUGGCUCAGCUGAUACCUUCAGGUUAGACUUCUGGACUUCGACAGCAUGAGACAAUAAAUACAUUUCUGCUGUAAUGUAUUUCUGACAUUCUGUCAGAAUUCUGUAUCCCCCUCAUUUGUGGUACUUUGUUACCUUAAGGAAGUCAGUAAUGGGAACAUCCCUAAGGAAAUGAAUACAGCCAUUAUUGCAAAACCUUUAACUAGAUAGCUCUGGUUUUCUCUCUUGUGGUCCAGAGCUUGAUCCAGGCACUACUCCAAAAGUAGCGCACUUAUAACUGCUUAGAGAGGCCUCCUAUUUAGAUCUUCUGAGAGGGAUUAUUGCAGCUCUAAUAGAGUUGAACACAUGGGCAUGGCUUAGGCACUGAGAGGUCCAAUUCUAGCUUAGUGAGGCUGAAAGAAAAGCUAACAGGGUAGCUGGGGGACUGUGAAGUCACUGUUUAGAUUUGGCUGGGGCCCGGGAGGGGCUUCCUUGUAGGACCCUAUGUAUCUGUUUAGUAGAGCC
This 4513-nucleotide long non-coding RNA is filed under the name Canis lupus familiaris (dog). RNAcentral's name for it is "lncRNA (ENSCAFG00845019426.1)". Lineage: Eukaryota; Metazoa; Chordata; Mammalia; Carnivora; Canidae. The record is from RNAcentral.